This 254-nucleotide ribosomal RNA is filed under the name uncultured bacterium. RNAcentral describes it as "partial 16S ribosomal RNA". It matches the Rfam family "Bacterial small subunit ribosomal RNA", at positions 524 to 776 of the family's 1533-position model. The record is from RNAcentral.
UACGUAGGGACCAAGCGUUGUUCGGAUUUACUGGGCGUAAAGGGCGCGUAGGCGGCGCUGUAAGUCACUUGUGAAAUCUCCGGGCUUAACUCGGAACGGUCAAGUGAUACUGCAGUGCUAGAGUGCAGAAAGGGCAAUCGGAAUUCUUGGUGUAGCGGUGAAAUGCGUAGAUAUCAAGAGGAACACCUGAGGCGAAGGCGGGUUGCUAGGCUGACACCGACGCUGACAGCGCGAAAGCCAGGGGAGCAAACGGG